This 167-nucleotide unclassified non-coding RNA is filed under the name uncultured Penicillium. RNAcentral describes it as "sequence contains ITS2". Lineage: Eukaryota; Fungi; Ascomycota; Eurotiomycetes; Eurotiales; Aspergillaceae. The record is from RNAcentral.
CUGCCCUCAAGCACGGCUUGUGUGUUGGGCUUCGCCCCCCGGCUCCCGGGGGGCGGGCCCGAAAGGCAGCGGCGGCACCGCGUCCGGUCCUCGAGCGUAUGGGGCUUUGUCACCCGCUCUGUAGGCCCGGCCGGCGCCCGCCGGCGACCCCAAUCAAUCUUUCCAGG